ACUCAAAUGAAUUGACGGGGACCCACACAAGCGGUGGAGCAUGGGGUUUAAUUCGAUAAUAAACGAUUCACCUCACCCAGACUUGACAUCCUAGGAAUCCCGCCGAAAGGUGGGAGUGCCGCAAGGAACCUAGAGACAGGCGAUGCACGGUCGUCGUCAGCUCGUGCCUUGAGGUGUACUGUUAAGUCAGCGAACGAGCGCAACCCUCAUCCUAUGUUGCUAUUUCAUGGGAGACUGCCGCCUCCAAGGCGGAGGAAGGUGGGGAUGACGUCAGAUCAGCGUGUCCUUUAUGUCUGGGGCAACACCCAUGCUACAAUGGUCGGUACAGAGGGCUGCUAAGCCGCGAGGCGGAGCCAAUCCCAUCAAAACCGAUCUCAGUUCGGAUUGCAGGCUGCAACUCGCCUGCAUGAAGUUGGAAUCGCUAGUAACCGUGGAUCAGCUAUGCCACGGUGAAUAUGUUCCUGGGUCUUGUACACACCGCCCGU
Molecule: ribosomal RNA, 485 nt
Filed under: uncultured bacterium
Lineage: Bacteria
Description: partial 16S ribosomal RNA
Rfam family: Bacterial small subunit ribosomal RNA
Source: RNAcentral